UAGGGAAUAUUGGGCAAUGGAGGCAACUCUGACCCAGCCAUGCCGCGUGCAGGAAGACGGUUCUCAGAAUUGUAAACUGCUUUUGAAUGGGAAGAACAUUGGGCUUGCGAGCUUACUUGACGGUACCAUUAGAAUAAGCACCGGCUAACUCCGUGCCAGCAGCCGCGGUAAUACGGAGGGUGCAAGCGUUAUCCGGAUUUAUUGGGUUUAAAGGGUGCGUAGGCGGCCUAAUAAGUCGGUGGUUAAAGGUAGUCGCUUAACGAUUUACAUGCCAUCGAAACUAUUAGGCUUGAGUAAUUUGGAGGUAGCUAGAAUUCCCUGUGUAGCGGUGAAAUGCAUAGAUACGGGGAGGAAUACCGAUUGCGAAGGCAUGUUACUACGAAUUAACUGACGCUGAGGCACGAAAGCGUGGGGAUCAAACA
This 422-nucleotide ribosomal RNA is filed under the name uncultured Cytophagales bacterium. RNAcentral describes it as "bacterial SSU rRNA". It matches the Rfam family "Bacterial small subunit ribosomal RNA", at positions 355 to 774 of the family's 1533-position model. Lineage: Bacteria; Pseudomonadati; Bacteroidota; Sphingobacteriia; Sphingobacteriales. The record is from RNAcentral.